UGGUAAAAACGGCAUUUAAUACACUCCCACGGAGUUAUGAGUACAUAAUACCUAACAUUAUCAAUGCUCUAAUAUUUCCUACAUUUGAGAGAACCAGCGCAAUAUUGUUGACCGAGUAUCAUCAACUGUAACAUUGUAAUGCUAAGUUGGAAGAUGAAGAGGCUCUUGUUCAGGUCCAGAAGAACACAAGAAUCACACCAAAUACAGGAAGAUCGCCGAACAAGAGGAGAGGCAAAUCAUCCAUGAGCAACUUCA
This 255-nucleotide long non-coding RNA is filed under the name Physcomitrium patens. Its description in RNAcentral is "long non-coding RNA (PPAT_LNC008932)". The record is from RNAcentral. Lineage: Eukaryota; Viridiplantae; Streptophyta; Bryopsida; Funariales; Funariaceae.